GACGAACGCUGGCGGCGUGCCUAAUACAUGCAAGUCGAGCGGACGAAUCGAAAGCUUGCUUUUGAUUCGUUAGCGGCGGACGGGUGAGUAACACGUGGAUAACCUGCCCUGUAGACGGGGAUAACACCGAGAAAUCGGUGCUAAUACCGGAUAAUACGUAAUGCCGCAUGACGCAUCGUUGAAAGACGGCUCUGGCUGUAGCUACAGGUGGGUCCGCGGCGCAUUAGGUAGUUGGUAAGGUAACGGCUUACCAAGGCGACGAUGCGUAGCCGACCUGAGAGGGUGAUCGGCCACACUGGAACUGAGACACGGCCCAGACUCCUACGGGAGGCAGCAGUAGGGAAUCUUCCGCAAUGGACGAAAGUCUGACGGAGCAACGCCGCGUGAGCGAAGAAGGCCUUCGGGUCGUAAAGCUCUGUUGUUAGGGAAGAACAAGUAACGCAGUAACUGGCGUUACCUUGACGGUACCUAACGAGAAAGCCACGGCUAACUACGUG
This 497-nucleotide ribosomal RNA is filed under the name uncultured bacterium. RNAcentral's name for it is "partial 16S ribosomal RNA". It matches the Rfam family "Bacterial small subunit ribosomal RNA", at positions 28 to 507 of the family's 1533-position model. The record is from RNAcentral.